This 240-nucleotide unclassified non-coding RNA is filed under the name soil metagenome. Its description in RNAcentral is "partial contains 5.8S ribosomal RNA, internal transcribed spacer 2, and large subunit ribosomal RNA". The record is from RNAcentral.
AACAAGGCGUACCUGCGGACCUGCGGAGGGAUCAUUAACGAGUGUAACUUACCCUUUUAAAAAAUGGGUGGUACCUCCCGUCCUUUGCGGGCCCCCUUCUUUUAUUAAGGGGGGGGCUUUUAAGACUUUCUGCUUCGGCGGGGUUAUUCCCGCCGGAACACCUUCAAAAAACUCUUGAUCAAAAAACUGUUCAGUCCGAGAAUUUUUGAAAAUUAAAACAAAACUUUCAGCAAUGGAUCU